AGUAACGCGUGGGUAACCUGCCUUAUACAGGGGAGUAACAGUCAGAAAUGGCUGCUAAUACCGCAUAAGCGCACAGAGCUGCAUGGCUCGGUGUGAAAAACUCCGGUGGUAUAAGAUGGACCCGCGUUGGAUUAGCUUGUUGGUGGGGUAACGGCCCACCAAGGCGACGAUCCAUAGCCGGCCUGAGAGGGUGAACGGCCACAUUGGGACUGAGACACGGCCCAG
Molecule: ribosomal RNA, 225 nt
Filed under: uncultured bacterium
Lineage: Bacteria
Description: partial 16S ribosomal RNA
Rfam family: Bacterial small subunit ribosomal RNA
Source: RNAcentral